ACGUAGGGUGCAAGCGUUGUCCGGAAUUAUUGGGCGUAAAGAGCUCGUAGGCGGUUUGUCACGUCUGCUGUGAAAUUCCGAGGCUCAACCUCGGACUUGCAGUGGGUACGGGCAGGCUAGAGUGCGGUAGGGGAGAUGGGAAUUCCUGGUGUAGCGGUGGAAUGCGCAGAUAUCAGGAGGAACACCAAUGGCGAAGGCACAUCUCUGGGCCGUAACUGACGCUGAGGAGCGAAAGCGUGGGGAGCGAACAGGAUUAGAUACCCUGGUAGUCCACGCCGUAAACGGUGGGUGCUAGCUGUGGGCCACAUUCCACGUGGUCCGUGACGAAGUUAACACAUUAAGCACCCCGCCUGGGGAGUACGGCCGCAAGGCUA
Molecule: ribosomal RNA, 374 nt
Filed under: uncultured bacterium
Lineage: Bacteria
Description: bacterial SSU rRNA
Rfam family: Bacterial small subunit ribosomal RNA
Source: RNAcentral